This 69-nucleotide antisense RNA is filed under the name Allokutzneria albata. RNAcentral's name for it is "Kibdelosporangium albatum ASpks TB sRNA". It matches the Rfam family "ASpks TB sRNA". The record is from Rfam by way of RNAcentral. Lineage: Bacteria; Bacillati; Actinomycetota; Actinomycetes; Pseudonocardiales; Pseudonocardiaceae.
CUUCAGCGACCCCAGGUACACCGGCUGUGGCCGGUUCUGGCCGUACGUGGCCAGGAUCGCCUGCGCCUC